UCUCACCUCGUGGGGCAUCACUGAUCAUGAGGAAGGUGAGGGAUCAGCUCAGAACUACACGGCAGGACCUAGUCAAUGACCUGAAGAGAGCUGGGACCACAGUCUCAAAGAAGACCAUUAGCAACACACUACGCCACCAUGUAUUAAAAUCCUGCAGCACACGUAAGUCCUCCUGGUGAAGCUAGUGCAUGUCUAGGGGAAGGGUGAGUACAACCCCAAGAACACCAUCUCUACCAUGAAGCAUAGAGGUGGAAACAGCCUUCUUUGGGGAUGCUUUUCUGCAAAGGGGACAGGACGACUGCCCUGUAUUGAGGGGAGGAUGGAUGUGGCCAUGUAUCAGGAGAUCUUAGACAACAACCUCCUUCCCUCAGCAAGGGCAUUGAAGAUGGGUCCUGGCUGGGUCUUCCAGCAUGACAACGACCCGAAGCACACAGCCAGGGCAACUAAGGAGGGGCUCCGUAAGAAGCAUCUCAUAUCUGAUAUCUAUAAUUGCAACCAAAGGUUUCUGCACCAAGUUUUGUUUUUCUGAUGUAUCAAAUUCUUAUGUCAUGCAAUAGAAUGCAAAUGUAUUACUUAAAAAUCACACAAUGUGAUUUUCUGGAUUUUAGUUUUAGAUUCUGUCACUCACAGUUGAAGAUCACCUAUGAAAGACUUUUACUUGCUUUGCAAGUGGGAAAACCUUCAAAAUCGGCAGUGUAUCAAAUACUUGUUCUCUCCACUGAAUGCAACACCAGACAGCAGUAGUAGACAGUAGAGUCUUUGGGUAUUGGAUGAUGGGCUUUGUGGCCUCUGCCAUAUUUGGUCCCAUCCUGCACCUCAAUUUUAACCUUAUGUCUGGCUGCAUGGGACUGCUGAGGCCUUCUGGAUGAGGUCUGCCCCCCCUUUGCUACUCUUAGGUGAUGUGGAUUGUGGGCACUCGACCGUUCUCUUCAGACUUACAAAUGUACACUUCCAGACUUGCACUCACACACAACCACUCAACACAAACACUUAUUUCUACUCAUAUGCCUACCCUGUCAGUCUGGUUCUCCUGUCUGCCUGCUGCUAACCUGUUCUCACCACUAGGCGCCACUAGUUGGAAGACACUGGAGAUCGUGACGGGUGCGGCUCGUUAUUUCAUCAACCGGGGAGCUUUAAGAGGAUGGAUUGCCAGCACUUCGUUGCCUGAGUGUUUUGCCCUCAGCGGUAUUUCAAUCUGAUCUGCUCUUGCCUUGAGCCUGUUUCCUGAGAAUAACCUCGUGUUAAUUCUUCCCUUCUCUUGCCUGUUCUAGGUUCUGGCCACAGACCGGAACCAAGCAAUCCUGAACCUUCGACUAGCAGUGUGGAAUUGUUUCCCUGACUUUGGACUGAAUCUAGCUGGCAAUCCUUAGACCCUCUGGAGCUCCUGCCUGCAGCUCGAACCCUGUCCACCCCCCAGCGUUUGCUUCAGUCUGGAUCAACGUCUCUAGCUUCAGUGGUGCCGUAGGCAGUCGUACCAUUCAUCCCAGACUCUGAUUCUCUCCCUGGCGGUUUUCCCUGCUCUACUAUACGUGGCGUUCUGUUCCCGAGCUGUUUGUUUGGCCUGCAGCCUGCAUUUAAAUAAAAUCAACUAAACUGU
Girardinichthys multiradiatus is the source of this 1597-nucleotide long non-coding RNA. RefSeq lists it as uncharacterized. The record is from RefSeq and is a predicted model, not a curated record. NCBI's taxonomy places the organism in Eukaryota, Metazoa, Chordata, Actinopteri, Cyprinodontiformes, Goodeidae. The transcript has 2 exons.